This 615-nucleotide ribosomal RNA is filed under the name Photobacterium iliopiscarium. RNAcentral's name for it is "bacterial LSU rRNA". It matches the Rfam family "Bacterial large subunit ribosomal RNA", at positions 593 to 1209 of the family's 2925-position model. Lineage: Bacteria; Pseudomonadati; Pseudomonadota; Gammaproteobacteria; Vibrionales; Vibrionaceae. The record is from RNAcentral.
GUGACUGCGUACCUUUUGUAUAAUGGGUCAGCGACUUAAUUUUAGUAGCAAGGUUAACCGUUUAGGGGAGCCGUAGGGAAACCGAGUCUUAACUGGGCGAAUUAGUUGCUAGGAUUAGACCCGAAACCGAGUGAUCUAGCCAUGGGCAGGUUGAAGGUGAGGUAACACUUACUGGAGGACCGAACCGACUAAUGUUGAAAAAUUAGCGGAUGACUUGUGGCUAGGGGUGAAAGGCCAAUCAAACUCGGAGAUAGCUGGUUCUCCCCGAAAGCUAUUUAGGUAGCGCCUCGGACGAAUACUACUGGGGGUAGAGCACUGUUAAGGCUAGGGGGUCAUCCCGACUUACCAACCCUUUGCAAACUCCGAAUACCAGUAAGUAAUAUCCGGGAGACACACGGCGGGUGCUAACGUCCGUCGUGAAGAGGGAAACAACCCAGACCGCCAGCUAAGGUCCCAAAGUUAUAGCUAAGUGGGAAACGAUGUGGGAAGGCUCAGACAGCCAGGAUGUUGGCUUAGAAGCAGCCAUCAUUUAAAGAAAGCGUAAUAGCUCACUGGUCGAGUCGGCCUGCGCGGAAGAUUUAACGGGGCUAAGCUAUACACCGAAGCUGCGGCAAU